This 489-nucleotide ribosomal RNA is filed under the name uncultured bacterium. RNAcentral describes it as "bacterial SSU rRNA". It matches the Rfam family "Bacterial small subunit ribosomal RNA", at positions 29 to 507 of the family's 1533-position model. The record is from RNAcentral.
AUGAACGCUAGCGGCAGGCUUAACACAUGCAAGUCAGGGGCAGCGUGAUGAAGUAGCAAUACGGAUUUGACGGCGACCGGCGCACGGGUGCGUAGCGCGUAUGUAACCUACCUUUAACAGGGGGAUAACACUGAGAAAUUGGUACUAAUACCCCAUAACACUCUGAGAGGCAUCUUUUGGAGUUGAAAGUUCCGGCGGUUAAAGAUGGGCAUGCGUAGCAUUAGCUAGAUGGUGCGGUAACGGCGUACCAUGGCGACGAUGCUUAGGGGUUCUGAGAGGAAGGUCCCCCACACUGGUACUGAGAUACGGACCAGACUCCUACGGGAGGCAGCAGUGAGGAAUAUUGGUCAAUGGUCGGAAGACUGAACCAGCCAUGCCGCGUGCAGGAAGAAUGUCUUAUGGAUUGUAAACUGCUUUUGUAUGGGGCUAAUAAUAACUUUGCGAAGUUAGAUGCAGGUACCAUACGAAUAAGGAUCGGCUAACUCCGUG